GAUGAAGAACGCAGCGAAUUGCGAUAUGUAAUGUGAAUUGCAGAAUUCAGUGAAUCAUCGAAUCUUUGAACGCACAUUGCGCCCCCUGGCAUUCCGGGGGGCAUGCCUGUCCGAGCGUCAUUUCUGCCCUCCAGCCCGGCUGGGUGUUGGGCGCUGUCCCCCCGGGGACACGCCCCAAAGGCAGUGGCGGCGCCGCGUCGGGUCCUCGAGCGUAUGGGGCUUUGUCACCCGCUCGGGACGGACUCGUCGGCGCUGGUCUUCCUCCAGGCGACCCUUCGGGGCUCGUCUUCCUUCGGUUGACCUCGGAUCAGGUAGGGUUACCCGCUGAACUUAAGCAUAUCAAUAAGCGGAGGA
Molecule: unclassified non-coding RNA, 354 nt
Filed under: soil metagenome
Description: partial contains 5.8S ribosomal RNA, internal transcribed spacer 2, and large subunit ribosomal RNA
Rfam family: 5.8S ribosomal RNA (bases 1-120)
Source: RNAcentral